This 427-nucleotide ribosomal RNA is filed under the name uncultured bacterium. Its description in RNAcentral is "bacterial SSU rRNA". It matches the Rfam family "Bacterial small subunit ribosomal RNA", at positions 355 to 774 of the family's 1533-position model. The record is from RNAcentral.
UGGGGAAUUUUGGACAAUGGGCGCAAGCCUGAUCCAGCCAUGCCGCGUGCAGGAUGAAGGCAUUCGGGUUGUAAACUGCUUUUGUACGGAAAGAAAAGACUCCUUCUAAUAAAGGGGGUCCAUGACGGUACCGUAAGAAUAAGCAUCGGCUAACUACGUGCCAGCAGCCGCGGUAAUACGUAGGGUGCGAGCGUUAAUCGGAAUUACUGGGCGUAAAGCGUGCGCAGGCGGUUAUAUAAGACAGAGGUGAAAUCCCCGGGCUCAACCUGGGAACUGCAUUUGUGACUGUAUAGCUAGAGUACGGCAGAGGGGGAUGGAAUUCCGCGUGUAGCAGUGAAAUGCGUAGAUAUGCGGAGGAACACCGAUGGCGAAGGCAAUCCCCUGAGCCUGUACUGACGCUCAUGCACGAAAGCGUGGGGAGCAAACA